RNAcentral lists this ribosomal RNA (301 nucleotides) under uncultured bacterium. RNAcentral describes it as "partial 16S ribosomal RNA". It matches the Rfam family "Bacterial small subunit ribosomal RNA", at positions 509 to 807 of the family's 1533-position model. The record is from RNAcentral.
CAGUAGCCGCGGUAAUACGAGGGGGGCAAGCGUUGUUCGGAAUUAUUGGGCGUAAAGGGUACGUAGGCGGUUUGACAAGUCUUAUGUGAAAUCUCUGGGCUCAACCCAGAGUCUGCAUGGGAAACUGUCGAGCUUGAGUAUGGGAGAGGUGAGUGGAAAUUCCGGUGUAGCGGUGAAAUGCGUAGAUAUCGGAAGGAACACCUGUGGCGAAAGCGGCUCACUGGACCAUUACUGACGCUGAUGCACGAAAGCUAGGGGAGCAAACAGGAUUAGAUACCCCGGUAGUCCCUGUCUCUUAUAC